AUUCGUCUGACGAGCCCCAAAUAGGACGAAACGCAGGUCCUGGAU
This 45-nucleotide non-coding RNA is filed under the name Schistosoma mansoni. The record is from RNAcentral. Lineage: Eukaryota; Metazoa; Platyhelminthes; Trematoda; Strigeidida; Schistosomatidae.